Molecule: ribosomal RNA, 713 nt
Filed under: Entoloma subclitocyboides
Lineage: Eukaryota; Fungi; Basidiomycota; Agaricomycetes; Agaricales; Entolomataceae
Description: eukaryotic LSU rRNA
Rfam family: 5.8S ribosomal RNA (bases 291-444)
Source: RNAcentral
UUGGGAGUAAAAAAUCGUAACAAGGUUUCCGUAGGUGAACCUGCGGAAGGAUCAUUAUUGAAUAAACUUGGUUGGGUUGCUGCUGGCUCCUAGGAGCAUGUGCACGCCUAUUCCAUCUUUAACCCCCCUGUGCACCUUGUGUACAUCUGAACCACAUUUCGAGGAGCCCCCUCGGUCAUAGAAUUGCUGUGUCGCAUGGCGAGCUUUUCUUGUUAGUUUCAGAUCUACGUCUUCUACACACCCUUUUAAAUGAAUGUAUUUGAAUGUUGAUCAUGUAAUAAAUGUCAUACAACUUUCAACAACGGAUCUCUUGGCUCUCGCAUCGAUGAAAAACGCAGCGAAAUGCGAUAAGUAAUGUGAAUUGCAAAAUUCAGUGAAUCAUCGAAUCUUUGAACGCACCUUGCGCUCCUUGGUAUUCCGAGGAGCAUGCCUGUUUGAGUGUCAUGAAAUUCUCAACCUUUCCGGCUUUUGCUGGUUCAGGAUUGGAAUGUGGGAGCUGCUGGUUAUUCUACAGUAAUCAGCUCUUCUGAAAUGCAUUAGCAAGAUCAUUGCUGAUCAUCUCUGGUAUGAUAAUUAUCUAUACCACCGACAGACCAGCCUUUGAGAUUUUGCUUCUAACCGUCUCUUUCAUCUGGGACACAACCAUGACUACUUUGACCUCAAAUCAGGUAGGACUACCCGCUGAACUUAAGCAUAUCAAAAACCGGAAGGAA